GGAAAUCAAAGCUCUGCUCUGAGUCCGAGGUGGCUGACUGAAGCGAGCUGAGCGAGCCGGCCACGGAGCCGUCCCCCUCAAACAUGACUUGUUCUGUAGGCCAGGAUGCCUGGAGCAUGUAAUAGUCCUCCCACCGCGUGCCGUUGAUGCCGGAAUCGCAGUGUAUCGCUGUGGCAUUUCAUGCGUAUUGGAUAUUAGCAUUGUCCCUGACGCUUGCUUUUCUCUAAGUAAGGAGAAUGUGCAGUGGUUGAGCUCAGUAGCAGAGUGAAGCCUAGAUCAUAAGGAUUUUAAGAAAGGCUGACAUAGAGCUGAAACAUCAUCAUCAUCAUCAUCAUAACCAUCAGCGGCAGCAGCAGCAGCAGCAACAACAACCGAAACCCCACCUGUACCUUCAUAUUACAUGGCCAUUUGGAAUGUUUUCAUUAAAAGUGAUAAUUAGAGCUUUAGUAACUUUUUUGGAAGGAGAAUUAUUUUUAAA
RNAcentral lists this small RNA (478 nucleotides) under Rattus norvegicus (Norway rat). Its description in RNAcentral is "uncharacterized LOC102547165". Lineage: Eukaryota; Metazoa; Chordata; Mammalia; Rodentia; Muridae. The record is from RNAcentral.